RNAcentral lists this ribosomal RNA (557 nucleotides) under uncultured archaeon. RNAcentral's name for it is "bacterial SSU rRNA". It matches the Rfam family "Archaeal small subunit ribosomal RNA", at positions 1 to 549 of the family's 1478-position model. The record is from RNAcentral.
CUCGAGGCCAGAUCUUUCCGGUUGAUCCUGCCGGACCUGACUGCAAUCGGAUUGAUACUAAGCCAUGCGAGUCUUUGUAGCAAUACAAGGCAGACGGCUCAGUAACACGUAGUCAAUCUACCCUAUGGACGGGGAUAACCUCGGGAAACUGAGAAUAAUACCCGAUAGAUCAUUAUGCCUGGAAUGGUUUAUGGUCGAAAUGAUUUAUCGCCGUAGGAUGGGACUGCGGUCUAUCAGCUUGUUGGUGAGGUAAUGGCCCACCAAGGCUAUAACAGAUACGGGCUCUGAGAGGAGAAGCCCGGAGAUGGGUACUGAGACACGGACCCAGGCCCUAUGGGGCGCAGCAGGCGAGAAAACUUUGCAAUGUGCGAAAGCACGACAAGGUUAAUCCGAGUGUUUUCUGCUAAAGAAAUCUUUUGUCAGUCCUAAAAACACUGAUGAAUAAGGGGUGGGCAAGUUCUGGUGUCAGCCGCCGCGGUAAAACCAGCACCUCAAGUGGUCAGGAGGAUUAUUGGGCCUAAAGCAUCCGUAGCCGGCCGUGUAAGUUUUCGGUUAAA